RNAcentral lists this ribosomal RNA (231 nucleotides) under uncultured bacterium. RNAcentral's name for it is "partial 16S ribosomal RNA". It matches the Rfam family "Bacterial small subunit ribosomal RNA", at positions 545 to 775 of the family's 1533-position model. The record is from RNAcentral.
UCGGAAUUACUGGGCGUAAAGCGUGCGUAGGUGGUGUGUUAAGUAAAGUGUGAAAUCCCCGGGCUCAACCUGGGAACUGCAUUUGAUACUGGCAGGCUAGAGUGUGGUAGAGGGUAGUGGAAUUCCCGGUGUAGCGGUGAAAUGCGUAGAUAUCGGGAGGAACAUCAGUGGCGAAGGCGGCUACCUGGACCACAACUGACACUGAGGCACGAAAGCGUGGGGAGCAAACAG